RNAcentral lists this ribosomal RNA (407 nucleotides) under uncultured bacterium. RNAcentral describes it as "partial 16S ribosomal RNA". It matches the Rfam family "Bacterial small subunit ribosomal RNA", at positions 30 to 526 of the family's 1533-position model. The record is from RNAcentral.
AUCGAACGCUGGCGGCAGGCUUAACACAUGCAAGUCGAGCGGAGCGGCGGACGGGCGAGUAAUGCCUACGAAUCUGCCUGGUAGUGGGGGAUAACGUCCGGAAAUGGGCGCUAAUAUCGCAUACUAUCAGAUGAGCCUAGGUCGGAUUAGCUAGUUGGUGGGGUAAAGGCCUACCAACGCGACGGUCCGUAACUGGUCUGAGAGGUUGAUCGGUCACACUGGAACUGGGACACGGUCCGACGUCCUACGGGAGGCAGCAGUGGGAAAUAGUGGACAAUGGGCAAAGGCCUAAUCCAGCCAUGCCGGGUGUGUGGAGAAGGUCUUCGGAUUGUAAGGCACUUUAAGUUGGAAGGCGUUACCGACAGAAUAAGCACCGGCUAACUACGUGCCAGCAGCCGCGGUAAUUC